AAAGUUCCAAAGUACCAUUCAUAAGGAUAAUUUAAUAAAAUAAACACAUAAUUAUUAGUAUCUCUUAAGAGAAAUACAAAAUACAAAAUGGAUAUAACUAACUACAAUUAAUUAUCUUUAUUUUUGGUACAUUAACAAAACAAAGAUUUUAAAAUCGUUCAUAAGCAACACAACUUAAGGACGAAUAUCAAAGCUUCUUUCAUUAAGGUCAUUUGUACCCUUAUAGGACUCGUUCAAUAUGGAGGUGGGGGAGGAAAUAAUGUUGACCUAGCUCGUUGGCCAGUUAUUGGCCCACCCUUUGGUGGUGGUGGUGGAGGUGGCAUAGGUCUCCGCCGAGCUGAAACAGCCAGCAGUGGCCAUAUUCCUAUAUCUAUAGAGGCUUUGUGUAUACAUCUAUUGUGAAAAAUGGACAUUUGAUCUUGUAUAACUAGUGAUGCGAUGAUAAAAGUUAAAAUAAUCUUCAUUUCUUUAAGUUAAAAUAAAGUUUCUUCUCUUCUUAUUAUUUUGGUUAGAAUUUAUAGGAAUAUGAUUUGUUAGGAGGCCUUGAAUUAGUAAAAAUAAAUGAGAAAAU
RNAcentral lists this long non-coding RNA (571 nucleotides) under Solanum tuberosum (potato). RNAcentral's name for it is "long non-coding RNA (STUB_LNC004375)". The record is from RNAcentral. Lineage: Eukaryota; Viridiplantae; Streptophyta; Magnoliopsida; Solanales; Solanaceae.